AGAAUGGGCUGAAACUUUUGUGAGGUAGACAUAAAGUUGUUUUUAAAAUUAAAAUGGACAUGGUAACCACUUGGUUUGCAGUGAUGUAUUACUUUAAACUUGUAUCUCAACCCUAUUUUUACUUGAAUCUUCAACAAAAAAGACCCUAAGUACAGAAAUUUUUGGCUUAUAAAAUUUUGUAGACCAAGAUGGUCGCAAUUUUUCACCUUCUAUCCUUAAUCAUGACUCAUGAGGCUUGGAUGAACAAUUAUGUGCUGGAGAUGUUUAAUGGGUUUGUAAUCUAAUAGCAACAUUAAAUUCAGGUCUCCUUUUAAAGUUAAUUUGUUACCAAAAAAAAAAAAAUUUCAAGUCUCCUUUUCGAGUUAAUUUGUUACAAAAACAAAUCAUCUUUACUGUCCUUUCACAUAUUUGAUCUUCUUUGAUAUGGAGUGUUUCACAGCUUCCUAAUUGGUUCAAAAGCCUUGCUUCAGGCAACCUGCAAGUAUUAAAGACAUUGGAGAAAUUAUGUUUGGGUGAACUUUAUUAAUUAAAAUAUUAUGGUUAUUAUGAUUGUUGCGAUACCUUUAACUGUUAUUUAUUUUGUUCAAUUACUUGUAAAGAUAGACCUUAUUAGAAGAUCUGGCAUGUUCUGUAUGUGUGUGAGUGUGGAUAUAAUUAAUGUAUGUGAAAAUCUGCAUUUCAUCAGCUUAUUCUGGAGAAUUGUUGGUCAAGCUAAAAAUGUUCUUCCAAGAAGGAAUAUAUUCACAUGUAUUAGUAACAUUAUUUUUUUAUAGUUUUAUAAAUGUUUGUAUUUUUUGAUUAAAAAGCCAACCAUUGGACAUUCUAUUCAGAUAAAUCAGUAAUGUCAAAGUUUACAUUCAUCAGAUAUCGGUGUCCAGUGAGUAUGCCAUCAAUAUGUGUCAAACUCAUUCACAAAUUAUAUUAAGGUAAAGUUUGAUUCGGAUGAAUUGAGUGAAUAAAAAAGCCUCUGAAUAUGAGGAUAUGAAAUUUGAAGUGCAUGAUCUGCAUGAAUAAAAUAUUGCAUCUAAUGCUUGUAUAAUUUAGUCCCCUCCCUUUUCAUAUGUUGCUAGCAUAGUUUGUUAAUUUGAGUAAAUGCUAUUGUGAAAUAUGAGCACUUCAGUUCAUGUAUGUAAUUGUUGUUAUUGUCUUGUAACAACCAAAUUUGCUUCAAUUGUCACAGUGAACUAAAUGAUACAGUAAUU
RNAcentral lists this unclassified non-coding RNA (1202 nucleotides) under Hevea brasiliensis (rubber tree). The record is from RNAcentral. Lineage: Eukaryota; Viridiplantae; Streptophyta; Magnoliopsida; Malpighiales; Euphorbiaceae.